CGUAGCGAAAGUUGCGCUAAUACCGCAUAUUCUGUGAGCAGGAAAGCAGGGGACCGCAAGGCCUUGCGCUCUUUGAGCGGCCGAUGUCAGAUUAGCUAGUUGGUGAGGUAACGGCUUACCAAGGCGACGAUCUGUAGCGGGUCUGAGAGGAUGAUCCGCCACACUGGAACUGAGACACGGUCCAGACUCCUACGGGAGGCAGCAGUGGGGAAUUUUGGACAAUGGGCGCAAGCCUGAUCCAGCCAUGCCGCGUGAGUGAAGAAGGCCUUCGGGUUGUAAAGCUCUUUCGGCCGGGAAGAAAUCGCAUGGGUUAAUACCCUGUGUGGAUGACGGUACCGGAAUAAGAAGCACCGGCUAACUACGUG
This 365-nucleotide ribosomal RNA is filed under the name uncultured bacterium. RNAcentral describes it as "bacterial SSU rRNA". It matches the Rfam family "Bacterial small subunit ribosomal RNA", at positions 147 to 507 of the family's 1533-position model. The record is from RNAcentral.